RNAcentral lists this long non-coding RNA (908 nucleotides) under Pan troglodytes (chimpanzee). RNAcentral describes it as "lincRNA". The record is from RNAcentral. Lineage: Eukaryota; Metazoa; Chordata; Mammalia; Primates; Hominidae.
AGAGUCUUCCCGGGAUUGGCUGCGGGCCCCGCGACCCUCCUGCUUCCCUCCCCGCCCCGCGCCGCCUCUCUGGUUUGUGCGCCCGUCGCAGGUCGCAGGCCUCUUUGUCAGCUGGAGUUGCGUGGGCUGACGCGCCACUACUUUGUAGCGGGUUUCGGGCGGGCCACGCGUGCGGCGACAGGAACCCAACCCCAGCCGACCUUGAGCCCCAGGAGUUCGUCUCUUACGUCUGCGGAAGUGCAGCUGCCUCAGUUCUUAGCGCAGGUUGACAACUACAGGCACAAGCCUUUGAAGCUGGAAUGUCCUGUUGCUGGUAUUUCAAUUGACUUAAGCCAACUAUCCCUUCAGUUACAAUAGGAAAGUGCCUCUAAUAAGGCCAAAUAUGCGUACUAACUUGCAGCAACCACGUGUCCGUGCAGUGCCACAGGAGCUAGAGCAGUGACAAUGCUGGUGGCAACAGGGCAGUGUAGCAGGUGCUUCAUGUUCACCUUUUCAACCUUUUCAUUUAAUUGUCACAACUUGGAGGUGGAUUCUGUUAGGGACAGGCUGCCCCAGGACCACUCCGCCCCCGCUAACUCAAUGCAGCUGACCCUUACCCUGAAUACUCUGCAGCUGCAUUCCUGAACCGUUAUCUAGGCGCUAUAGCAGGGUCACCAGACUUGCUACACCGAAGCCCUCCAGGUGGCACGGGGGAGGUCAUGAGAAACGUGGAUUACACCCCCUUGUAAAUUCCUAUUUUCACAAGAUAAUAUAUUGUAAGCCGGUCAUGAGAUUAUAUGUGGUAAAGUUAAUUGACUAACAACCCCAGGGUCUCUCUCCCGCAUAUAAACCCCUCAUUUUGUAAGCUCAGGGCUGCCACCUCUGACUGGUGGAGCAGCCUGGCAGGUUAAUAAACUUACUUGGCCUGA